Molecule: ribosomal RNA, 491 nt
Filed under: uncultured bacterium
Lineage: Bacteria
Description: bacterial SSU rRNA
Rfam family: Bacterial small subunit ribosomal RNA
Source: RNAcentral
UGCAAGUCGAACGGUCUUUCUAUGGAAGCUUGCUUCCACUGAGAAGAUAGUGGCGAACGGGUGAGGUAACACGUGGGUAACCUGCCCAUAAGAGGGGGAUAACAUCCGGAAACGGGUGCUAAUACCGCAUAGUUUUCUUGAUCGCAUGAUUGAGAAAGGAAAGACGGCCUUUGUGCUGUCGCUUAUGGAUGGACCCGCGGCGUAUUAGUUAGUUGGUGAGGUAACGGCUCACCAAGACGAUGAUACGUAGCCGACCUGAGAGGGUGAUCGGCCACAUUGGGACUGAGACACGGCCCAAACUCCUACGGGAGGCAGCAGUAGGGAAUCUUCCGCAAUGGACGAAAGUCUGACGGAGCAACGCCGCGUGAGUGAAGAAAGGGUUUUCGGAUCGUAAAACUCUGUUGUCAGAGAAGAACAAGUUGGAGAGUAACUGCUCCAGCCUUGACGGUAUCUGACCAGAAAGCCACGGCUAACUACGUGCCAGCCGCCGC